ACCACAGAACACGAACGGUCCCAAUGGAAA
This 30-nucleotide non-coding RNA is filed under the name Homo sapiens (human). Lineage: Eukaryota; Metazoa; Chordata; Mammalia; Primates; Hominidae. The record is from RNAcentral.